AUUGAACGCUGGCGGCAUGCUUUACACAUGCAAGUCGAACGGUAACAGGGAGCUUGCUCCGCUGACGAGUGGCGAACGGGUGAGUAAUGCAUCGGAACGUGCCGUGUAGUGGGGGAUAACGUAGCGAAAGUUACGCUAAUACCGCAUACGCCCCGAGGGGGAAAGUGGGAGACCGCAAGGCCUCACGCUAUACGAGCGGCCGAUGUCGGAUUAGCUAGUUGGUAGGGUAAAGGCCUACCAAGGCGACGAUCCGUAGCGGGUCUGAGAGGAUGAUCCGCCACACUGGGACUGAGACACGGCCCAGACUCCUACGGGAGGCAGCAGUGGGGAAUAUUGCACAAUGGGCGCAAGCCUGAUGCAGCGACGCCGCGUGGGGGAUGACGGCCUCGGUUGUAAACCGUACUUUCUAGUAGGGACGGAAGGGUGGACUGACGGUA
RNAcentral lists this ribosomal RNA (437 nucleotides) under uncultured bacterium. RNAcentral describes it as "bacterial SSU rRNA". It matches the Rfam family "Bacterial small subunit ribosomal RNA", at positions 29 to 477 of the family's 1533-position model. The record is from RNAcentral.